RNAcentral lists this ribosomal RNA (432 nucleotides) under uncultured bacterium. RNAcentral's name for it is "partial 16S ribosomal RNA". It matches the Rfam family "Bacterial small subunit ribosomal RNA", at positions 29 to 507 of the family's 1533-position model. The record is from RNAcentral.
AACGAACGCUGGCGGCAUGCCAACCCAUGCCAGUCGAACGCGACCUUCGGGUCUAGUGGCGCACGGGUGCGUAACGCGUGGGAACCUGCCCUUAGGUUCGGAAUAACUCCCCGAAAGGGGUGCUAAUACCGGAUAAUGUCUUCGGACCAAAGAUUUAUCGCCUUUGGAUGGGCCCGCGUUGGAUUAGCUAGUUGGUAGGGUAAAAGCCUACCAAGGCGACGAUCCAUAGCUGGUCUGAGAGGAUGAUCAGCCACACUGGGACUGAGACACGGCCCAGACUCCUACGGGAGGCAGCAGUGGGGAAUAUUGGACAAUGGGCGAAAGCCUGAUCCAGCAAUGCCGCGUGAGUGAUGAAGGCCUUAGGGUUGUAAAGCUCUUUUACCCGGGAUGAUAAUGACAGUACCGGGAGAAUAAGCUCCGGCUAACUCCGUG